RNAcentral lists this ribosomal RNA (373 nucleotides) under uncultured bacterium. RNAcentral's name for it is "bacterial SSU rRNA". It matches the Rfam family "Bacterial small subunit ribosomal RNA", at positions 527 to 898 of the family's 1533-position model. The record is from RNAcentral.
GAACCGUCCAAACGUUAUUCGGAAUCACUGGGCUUAAAGGGUACGUAGGCGGCGCUGUUAGUCGGGUGUGAAAUCCCUCGGCUCAACCGAGGAAUUGCGUCCGAUACUGCAGUGCUUGAGGGAGACAGAGGUAAGCGGAACUGAUGGUGGAGCGGUGAAAUGCGUUGAUAUCAUCAGGAACACCGGUGGCGAAAGCGGCUUACUGGGUCUCUUCUGACGCUGAGGUACGAAAGCUAGGGGAGCGAAGGGGAUUAGAUACCCCCGUAGUCCUAGCCGUAAACUCUGAGCACUUGAUCGUGGGCCCCCCCAUAGGCUCUCGGUCGUAGCGAAAGUGUUAAGUGCUCCGCCUGGGGAGUAUGGUCGCAAGGCUGAA